AGGGCUCUGCCUUCCCAGGGAUCAUGGGCUGGCAGGGGUGGCCGGGCAAAGCCAAGGUGGGAGGGCGGUCCAGCUCUAUCUGGUUCACCCCACCUUGUCCCCAGCAGAAGAGAGAAAGAGAGAGAGAGAGAGAUCAGGUGUGUUUACCUGAGCCAGGGGAGAGGCUUUGGAAAUACCUGUCUCCGGGCCACGAAGAGGAAGAAUGUCACCUCUCACCAUUAGUGUGAUUCAUUGCUGUCACAGCUGAACUCCAGGGGGGCAGAGACAGCCAGCUCAAGCCAACCGGUUGUUGAUUUUAUGGAGCCGGCUCCAGCCCUGCGCCUGCUUGCACAAUAAUGGGGCACCUGCCAAGGCAGGGAUGUCAGAGCAGGUGAUGCUGGAUGGGACAUCAUGGAGGACGUGGGCUGGUCGGGGCUGUUGCGGGGAGGGUCUCCCGCACUGCUCAGAGGAGUGGGAUCCGGCCUCAGAGCCAGGCUCAGAGGCAGGCCGGUGGAGGAGGAGGAGGCUCAGGACAUUCUCUGGCAUUCCCCUCUUCUCUCUAGCUGUGUGAGCUCAGGCAGACGCCGGUGCCUCUGUCACUGUCUUCGCAAAAUGAAAGGCUUCCUAGCCAUAGGGGUGGCCCUUCCGUGAGACCUGGGCCUGAGCUCUGACUUGCCUCCCUAACACUGCCGUUUCCUCCUCUGUGAGAUGGGGACCAUAAAACCUGCUUGGCUGAGUCACUGGAAGGAACAGAGCAGAUCAAGGAGGCAGAAGCUCUUCAGAACUAUCGAGAACCAUGAAGCGGACGGAACUGUUACCGAGGAGGGAUUUCUGGCCACCAGGCUGACAUUUAACAGACACCAAGAGCUGAGGCCUGGCACAGGCCAGACUCGGCCAAAAAAAGGACAAAGAUGAUUAUAAAGCCAGAUAUGAGCCAUCUGGGCCAUGCCCGUGUAAUCCAGAAGGUUGUGGAGGAAAGGCAGGAGCAGAGAGGGUGGGCUUGCUCCUGGAGGUCUUCCUGGAGGUGGUGAGCCUGGAGCUAUUUUUCAGAGAUAAGGGGGAAUGGGGUUACCAGGAGGUGAAGACUGCAGGUGGGGAGAAUAGCCUCUAGUCUAGGUCAAGCCCAGACUUGAGUUCUGAGAAAAGUCAAGAAUGCAUUUCUCUCCAGGGUAUUCACUGUGGGAGAGGUGGGUCAAACAGGUUUGCCCUCGUCACCAGCUGUAGAAACAGAAGUGGACGUCCCCAUCCCCUGCCAGCUCAGGGAGCAGAAAGCUUCGGUGACCUUGACUCUCACAGUACAUUGCCCUUUGGCAGCUCCCACGACCUGUGUGCCCCACGGCUCAGGUCAUCUUGAAGCCAAGGCUUAAGGAAUGGACCCUCCAGGACCCACCUCCCUUGGCCUCGCCUUAUAAGACCCCGGUGACCCUGGCGUCUGAGGCUACAGCAGGAGACAGGAACCCACACUCCUUGGGGUUCAGGAACUCUGGGCAGCACAGAUGGGUCCUGGGAGCUGCCACCUUCCUUGCCAAGGGGCCGUGCAUGCCAUGCAGCUGAAGACCGACCCCAGCCCGGAAACAGAGCUUUCUAGCGGUUUCUGGCUUCUUUCCAGCUGGGAGCCAACACCAGGAGGAUUGGCUGGGGACCUCGAGGCCGGGGCUGCGCACUCUGACGUGCAGCCCCUAGACACGCAGGGACGGUGGAGCUGGAGAACCCCAUCUUGGGAAGGCUGGUGGAGGGGGAGCCCCAGGCGGAGAGUGCUCAGCUGAUGCUCCAGCGUGCCACCUCCUUAUCUUACCAUCUCCAGAGAGACCACCCAGACUCCUGCCCUGAGACUGAAGAUUCAGGGCACGGGUGGAAGGCUGCCUGGGGAAGACAAGGGAGACUGAGGCAUGGCGACCAAGGACGUUGUCCCACUGGGUGUGACAGUGCUAGAAGAGGGACCUGGGACUCGGGGCUACCUCUUCAUACCUCCCGAAGAUCGCCUUGAUCUGUGGGGCUGGGGAGGAAGGCAGUGGAUGGCUGGAAGGCCCCUCUGGCUCCAGCCUGGAAUACUCAGACGAAGGGAGGGAGGCUGGGAGGUCUUUGCCUGCCCUGGAACCUUUCCGGGACUCCCACCCCCUUUGGCUCCGUAUCCCGAGAAUGACGAAAAGAAAUGCAGCUGACCCCGACCCCAGCAGCGACCAGCAAUGCUGUGUAGGUGUCGCAAAGGGGUGGGAAGGAAGGCUGGAGGUCCUGGGGCUGGGGCGGCUGGCAGAGAUUGUGCUGAGGGGCAGGAGGGGGAGGGGCUCUGGGAGCCUGCUUCAGGGACCAUCUUGGCAGGGGACUGAGCCCGGGGCAGGGAUUCCAGUGAGCGUGCUUGCCUCCUGAAAGGCCAUUUCAGGGGAGGAUAGCGAAGCGACCAUUUAUUAGGGCUUUCUUUGGUCAGGCCUUUUACCCACAUCCUCUCAAUUCCUACAACGACCACGCAAGGUAGGUGCUGCCACCCCAUUUUACAGACGGGAAGAAGGAGACCCGGAGACGUGACCUUCCCCCAAGCAUCACAGAGUCCACAGUGAAGAGCGGGGGUGCAAAGGGGCUCGAUCGAGCGUGGCGCGGACCGCUGACCGCAGGCGGAAGGAGCCGGGGGCUCCCUGAUGAAGAGCAGGGCGUCUCAGAGGGGGACUUCCCUGUCCGCAGUGUCAGCCAGGCCGAUGACCUCAGCUGGAGGCGGACGAGAAGUCUGAGGGAGGACUUGGGUGUGAGCAAGAAAGGGUGGACCUUCCUGACUCGGCCUCGGCCUUCCCCGGAGAGGAGAAAUAAACAGUGUCAUCAAAAUCGCCCGCAGGGCUCCGGGCGGAGAGCUGGGGGUGGGAUGUCCCCGAGGAGGACUCCCGGGGGAGGUGCUGGCAAGGUGUGGGGGUUGCUGGCCACCCACUGUCUCUCCGUGGGGGCUCCCUAGUUCCUGCCGCCUCUUACAGAGCAAGUGAUUUCAGAGAAGGAGGCUGCGGUAGGCAAGGUCAGGGCCCGCCUGUGCCCCUAGAGAAAGGAUUUCACCUCUGGGACUUACUCAUUCGCUGAACAAAGCCAGGGGCCCGCCACAGGCCAGGUCCUUUUCUAAGCACUGGGAAUUGACGAAUGAACACAGCAAACAAAAAUCCUCGCUCUCCAGGGGCGCCUGGGUGGCUCAGUCGGUGGAGCGUCCGACUUCGGCUCAGGUCAUGAUCUCACGAUUCGUGGGUUCGAGCCCCGGGUCGGGCUCUGUGCUGACAGCUCGGAGCCUGGAGCCUGCUUCAGAUUCUGUGCCUCCCUCUCUCUCUGCCCCAAUCCACUCGCAUUCUGUCUCUGUGUCUCUCAAAAAUAAACAUUAAAAAAAAAAUCCUUGCUCCCCUGGAGCUCAACUUGUAGCUGGAAGAAAGACCAGAAAACGAUGAGGAAAAAAAUUGGUAACUCACCAGAUAUGGUAAGUGCCAGAGAGAAACAAAACAAAACAACUAAGAAGGGAUUUGAGAUGUUGCAGAGGGUAGGUGUGAAAUUUUAUUAUUUUUAUUUUUAUUUUAUUUUUAAUAUAUGUAUUUUUGAGCUUUAUUUAUCUAUUUUGAGAGACAGAGAAAGAGCACGAGCAGAGGAGGGGCAGAGAGAGGGAGCGAGAAUCCCAAGCAGGC
Acinonyx jubatus (cheetah) is the source of this 3620-nucleotide long non-coding RNA. RefSeq lists it as uncharacterized. The record is from RefSeq and is a predicted model, not a curated record. The transcript has 2 exons. NCBI's taxonomy places the organism in Eukaryota, Metazoa, Chordata, Mammalia, Carnivora, Felidae.